RNAcentral lists this transfer RNA (75 nucleotides) under Bacteroidetes bacterium 37-13. RNAcentral describes it as "tRNA-Glu". It matches the Rfam family "tRNA". From Rfam's summary of the family: Transfer RNA (tRNA) molecules are approximately 80 nucleotides in length. Lineage: Bacteria; Pseudomonadati; Bacteroidota. The record is from RNAcentral.
GGCCCGUUCGUCUAUCGGUUAGGACAUCUCCCUUUCACGGAGGAAAGAGGAGUUCGACUCUCCUACGGGCUACAA